Molecule: ribosomal RNA, 231 nt
Filed under: uncultured bacterium
Lineage: Bacteria
Description: partial 16S ribosomal RNA
Rfam family: Bacterial small subunit ribosomal RNA
Source: RNAcentral
UCCACGCCCUAAACGAUGAACACUAGUCGUCGGGAUGCUAGUCAUCUCGGUGAUGCACUUAACAGAUUAAGUGUUCCGCCUGGGGAGUACGGUCGCAAGAUUAAAACUCAAAGGAAUAGACGGGGACCCGCACAAGAGGUGGAGCAAAUCUAUAAACCUAAUCUCAGUUCGGAUUGUAGUCUGCAACUCGACUACAUGAAGCUGGAAUCACUAGUAAUCGUAGAUCAGCCA